AACAUGUCUUAAGAUGACCAACAUUGUCCCAGUUCCCAAGAACUCCAAGUUAAAUAAAGGUCUCGAGAGGAAGACAUGAAGACUAGUUCAUCUAUACCGUACCACUUUUCCAUAUAUAUGUUCAUUACACAUAUGAAUCCAUGAAUUCCUGACAGAACAACGGCUACCAUGGCUAGAAGAAGAGAUAUCAGGGAUUUGGAAAGAGGGGGUCUCAAAGGAGCAUAGGGUGUGUGUGUGUAUGUAUGUGUGAGUUUGUGUGUGUGUCUCAGUCACCAGAUCUCAACCCAAAUUGAACCCUUAUGGUGUUUUCCACCACCAUCAACAAUGGAAUUUCUCAUGGAAUAAUGGUGUUGCAUCCCUCCAAUAGAGUUCCAGACUCUUAGAACAAGUAGAUCUAUGCCAAGGAGAAAUCGAAGCUGUUCUGACUCGUGGUGGCCCAACACGCUAUUAAGACACUAUGUUGGUGUUUCCUUUAUUUUGGCAGUUACCUGUAUGCGUGAAACUGACACAGUGUAAAGGAUCAGAACAGAGCAGCAGAGUGGAGGCUAAGACCCCGAUGCAGACACAGGAGGCGGAUAGUACGAGACUCAGAGUUUAUUACAGUACAAGGGGCAGGCAAAAGGUAAGUCAAGGCAGGCAAAAUGUCAUAAUCCAAAUCAGAGUCAGGCAGGUACAGAACGGCAGGCAGGAUCAGGGUCAGGACAGGCAGAAUGGUCAGAACUAGGAAGACUAGGAAAAACAAAAACAGAAGACAAAGGGCUGUGAGACAGGGGUUUAACUCUAGAUACAUGGAAAGUGGGAUGUAUACCGGAGAGUGCAGGGCAACAGAAGGCGAACAGAAGAGGGGCUCAGGACCAUAGAGAUGGGAAUGGGUUGAUAAAAUAGGGGGGAAGUUUGCGGGACUCCAGCUGGAGGGGCAGAUCCCGAGUUGAAAGCCCUUUGCCCAAGACUGUAGCGGGGAGCAGGGUCCGGUGGCAGUCUGCCUGUCGUCGAUACCUGGAGGUGGUCUUGAGAAGAGCGGCCCGGGCUCUCUUCCAGGUACAGUGACAGUGACAGAGGAAGGUAUGCUGACCUCUUCCUCUUGCUCUGGGAAGAGUGGGGUCUGAUUUCCCACGGAACACUUGAAAGGCAAGAGACCCGUAGCAGACCAGGGAAGGGUGUUGCGGGAAUAUUCUACCCACAUGAGUUGCUGGCGCCAGGUGGUGGGAUUGGUGGAGACGAGGCAACAAAGUGUCAUCUCCAAGUCCUGACUGGCUCGCUCCGACUGGCCGUUAGACUGGGGAUGAAAACCAGAGGACAGGCUGGUUGACGAUCCAAUGAGGGUGCAGAAUGUCUUCCAGAACCGGGAUGAGAACUUAGGACCACGAUCAGAGACCAUGUCGACUGGAAGUCCAUGGAUCUGGAAGACGUGUUGCACCAGCUGGGCCGUCUCUUUAGCUGAGGGCAACUUAGGAAGGGGGAUAAAAUGGGUGGCUUUGGAAAACCUCUCCACCGCCGUAAGGAUGGUUUUGCCAUCUGAUGGAGGGAGAUCCGUGACGAAGUCUAAGGAUAUAUGGGACCAGGGCGGUGAGGAACAGAGAGUGUUUGAAGGAGGUCUUGUUCUGAGCACACACAGUGCAGGCGGCAACAAACACGCAGAAGUCAGGAACCAUGGUGGGCCACCAAAAACAUUGUCGGACUAAAUCCAAGGUCCGAUGGGAGGAAGGAUGACAGGUGAGUCUCGAGGAAUGUGCCCAUUCCAGAAUCUGAGAAUGGGCAGAGUCCGGAACAAACAUCCGCUUAGCUGGGCCCCCCUCCCCCGGGGUAGGAACACUGCGCCUUGCAGACCAGACUCUUGAUUCCCCAGAUGAUAGCAGCUGCUAGACAGGAAGUAGGGAGGAUGGUCUUGGGGUCCAAUGGUGUAGUAGCGGGGCUGUACAGAAGUGAGAGCGCGUCAGGCUUCACAUUCUUGGACCCCAGGAGGUAGGAGAUAGUGAAAUAGAAACAAGUGAAUAACGGGGCCCAUCUUAAUAACAGGGCCCACAAACACAAAUCAGUUCAACAUGUCACUGAGCACAUCAUUGACCAGGGCCUGGAACACUGCAGGAGCGUUGGUCAGUUCGAACGGCAUCACCAGGUACUCAUAGUGCCCACUAGCCAUGUUAAAGGCUGUCUUCCACUCGUCUCCUUCCCAUAUCCAAACCAGAUGGUAGGUGUUCCGAAGGUCAAACUUGGAGAAGAUGACUGCCCCCGGAUGGAUUUGGACUGGCCUCCCCACAACAGGGUAGCAGAGAGGGGGUUACGAGUAGUGAGAGAUUGGAAACUCCCCGUACGGCUCACCAGUGUACUUGUACCUACUGAUGAGCCUGGUCUUUUAAUAAGAAAUGUCCCGUAGCUCCACAAUACAGGAAGCUCUUGGUGUUUAGUCUGUGUAAGCGCCCAGCAGGAGACAAUCUAGCCCUGCCCAGUUGCAUCGGCUUCGGAGGAGGCGAGUCAUCAGCCCUCUGUGAUUUCCGAGAGAACUCAGGUGACAUCGGAUUCACUCGGAAAUGUAGACUUCUGGGAUUUCCUCGG
This is a long non-coding RNA of Oncorhynchus gorbuscha (pink salmon), 2553 nucleotides long. RefSeq lists it as uncharacterized. The transcript has 4 exons. The record is from RefSeq and is a predicted model, not a curated record. Lineage: Eukaryota; Metazoa; Chordata; Actinopteri; Salmoniformes; Salmonidae.